CCACGAAGUUGGAUUCGCUAGUAAUCGCGCAUCAGCCAUGGCGCGGUGAAUACGUUCCCGGGCCUUGUACACACCGCCCGUCAAGCCAUGGGAGCCGGGGGCGCCUGAAGUCCGGGACCGCGAGGACCGGCCUAGGGCGAAACUGGUAACUGGGGCUAAGUCGUAACAAGGUAAC
Molecule: ribosomal RNA, 175 nt
Filed under: uncultured bacterium
Lineage: Bacteria
Description: partial 16S ribosomal RNA
Rfam family: Bacterial small subunit ribosomal RNA
Source: RNAcentral